RNAcentral lists this ribosomal RNA (505 nucleotides) under uncultured bacterium. RNAcentral describes it as "partial 16S ribosomal RNA". It matches the Rfam family "Bacterial small subunit ribosomal RNA", at positions 28 to 507 of the family's 1533-position model. The record is from RNAcentral.
GACGAACGCUGGCGGCGUGCCUAAUACAUGCAAGUAGAACGCACAGUUUAUACCGUAGCUUGCUACACCAUAAACUGUGAGUUGCGAACGGGUGAGUAACGCGUAGGUAACCUGCCUGGUAGCGGGGGAUAACUAUUGGAAACGAUAGCUAAUACCGCAUAAUAUUAAUUAUUGCAUGAUAAUUGAUUGAAAGAUGCAAUUGCAUCACUACCAGAUGGACCUGCGUUGUAUUAGCUAGUAGGUGAGGUAACGGCUCACCUAGGCGACGAUACAUGGCCGACCUGAGAGGGUGAUCGGCCACACUGGGACUGAGACACGGCCCAGACUCCUACGGGAGGCAGCAGUAGGGAAUCUUCGGCAAUGGACGAAAGUCUGACCGAGCAACGCCGCGUGAGUGAAGAAGGUUUUCGGAUCGUAAAGCUCUGUUGUAAGAGAAGAACGGGUGUGAGAGUGGAAAGUUCACACUGUGACGGUAUCUUACCAGAAAGGGACGGCUAACUACGUG